AUGUUUUAUUUUGACUUUGACAUAUUGGUGUCAGAAGUGGGAUCCAAAGCAGACUCACUUCAGGGAGAUGAACAACCCUUGGAACUAUGGCAAGAGCUACCCCUUGAGCCUGCAAACUUCUGCAGGUCACCUCUUUUCCCCCUGCAAAUCACAACAAAGUCUUCACUUUCAUCUUUGGGAUGUAAGUGCUCCCUCCACUGGCUGACGGAGAGAGGUGUUGCAUUACAGGAAUGAAUAAAAAGAAGCUUCAGUUGGAUUAAAGUCUGCUCCUUGAUACUUACUUCUUAAACUUGUAGACAUAUAAUGGUUUAAAUGUAUGUAAAUUCACAUUGUUUUGUCAGAAAACUUUACACAUUUUAGCCUAUUUAAAGUAGUAACUUUUUUUACGAAGAACAUAGAAUAAAGGGAGAGUGGUGAAAGUAGUUUCUGUGACAGAUGAUAAGGAAACAAUAUGGAAUUCUUCACUUGAUGGUGUUUGGUAACUCUAGUCACUGGAUGGGGAGGGGCAGCAGAAAGGUUUCUUGAGAGGGUUUAGGGCUUUUCUAUUAGCAUUCUUGCUGUGCCAUUGAUUAGCACUGUCAUCUUGGACAACUAUUAUCUUGGAUAUUACCUUUCUUUUAUUUAUUUUUUUUUUUUGAGACAGAGUCUCACUUUGUUGCCCAGGCUAGAGUGAGUGCCGUGGCGUCAGCCUAGCUCACAGCAACCUCAAACUCCUGGACUCAAGCAAUCCUGCUGCCUCGGCCUCC
This 746-nucleotide long non-coding RNA is filed under the name Microcebus murinus (gray mouse lemur). Its description in RNAcentral is "lncRNA (ENSMICG00000048442.1)". Lineage: Eukaryota; Metazoa; Chordata; Mammalia; Primates; Cheirogaleidae. The record is from RNAcentral.